UACGAAGGGGGCUAGCGUUGCUCGGAAUCACUGGGCGUAAAGGGUGCGUAGGCGGGUUUUUAAGUCAGAGGUGAAAUCCUGGAGCUCAACUCCAGAACUGCCUUUGAUACUGAAGAUCUUGAGUUCGGGAGAGGUGAGUGGAACUGCGAGUGUAGAGGUGAAAUUCGUAGAUAUUCGGAAGAACACCAGUGGCGAAGGCGACUUACUGGACACAUAUUGACGCUGAGGUGCGAAAGCGUGGGGAGUAAACAGG
RNAcentral lists this ribosomal RNA (253 nucleotides) under uncultured bacterium. Its description in RNAcentral is "partial 16S ribosomal RNA". It matches the Rfam family "Bacterial small subunit ribosomal RNA", at positions 524 to 776 of the family's 1533-position model. The record is from RNAcentral.